RNAcentral lists this ribosomal RNA (261 nucleotides) under uncultured archaeon. RNAcentral's name for it is "partial 16S ribosomal RNA". It matches the Rfam family "Archaeal small subunit ribosomal RNA", at positions 748 to 1008 of the family's 1478-position model. The record is from RNAcentral.
CAGCCGUAAACAAUGUGCGUUAGGUGUGUCGGUAACCACGCGUUACUGAUGCGCCGAAGAGAAAUCGUGAAACGCACCACCUGGGAAGUACGGCCGCAAGGCUGAAACUUAAAGGAAUUGGCGGGGGAGCACCACAACAGGUGGAGCCUGCGGUUUAAUUGGAUUCAACGCCGGACAUCUCACCGGAUAAGACAGCUGAAUGAUUGUCAAUCUGAAGGUUUUACAUGACUAGCUGAGAGGUGGUGCAUGGCGUCAGUGACU